This 301-nucleotide ribosomal RNA is filed under the name uncultured bacterium. RNAcentral describes it as "partial 16S ribosomal RNA". It matches the Rfam family "Bacterial small subunit ribosomal RNA", at positions 509 to 807 of the family's 1533-position model. The record is from RNAcentral.
CAGUAGCCGCGGGAACACGGAGGGAGCUAGCGUUGUUCGGAAUUACUGGGCGUAAAGCGCACGUAGGCGGCUUUGUAAGUUAAAGGUGAAAUCCUGGAGCUCAACUCCAGAACUGCCUUUGAUACUGAAAGUCUUGAGUAUGGGAGAGGUGAGUGGAACUGCGAGUGUAGAGGUGAAAUUCGUAGAUAUUCGCAAGAACACCAGUGGCGAAGGCGGCUCACUGGCCCAUUACUGACGCUGAGGCACGAAAGCGUGGGGAGCAAACAGGAUUAGAUACCCCCGUAGUCCCUGUCUCUUAUAC